This 496-nucleotide ribosomal RNA is filed under the name uncultured bacterium. RNAcentral's name for it is "partial 16S ribosomal RNA". It matches the Rfam family "Bacterial small subunit ribosomal RNA", at positions 28 to 506 of the family's 1533-position model. The record is from RNAcentral.
GAUGAACGCUGGCGGCGUGCCUAAUACAUGCAAGUCGAGCGAACGGACGAGAAGCUUGCUUUUCUGAUGUUAGCGGCGGACGGGUGAGUAACACGUGGUUAACCUACCUAUAAGACUGGGACAACUUCGGGAAACCGGAGCCAAUACCGGAUCAUAUUUUGAACCGCAUGGUUCAAAAGUGAAAGACGGUCUGGCUGUCACUUAUAGAUGGAUCCGCGCUGCAUUAGCUAGUUGGUAAGGUAACGGCUUACCAAGGCAACGAUGCAUAGCCGACCUGAGAGGGUAAUCGGCCACACUGGAACUGAGACACGGUCCAGACUCCUACGGGAGGCAGCAGUAGGGAAUCUUCCGCAAUGGGCGAAAGCCUGACGGAGCGACGCCGCGUGAGUGAUGAAGGUCUUCGGAUCGUAAAACUCUGUUAUUAGGGAAGAACAUAUGUGUAAGUAACUGUGCACAUCUUGACGGUACCUAAUCAGAAAGCCACGGCUAACUACGU